This 532-nucleotide ribosomal RNA is filed under the name Acalles micros. RNAcentral's name for it is "partial 16S ribosomal RNA". It matches the Rfam family "Bacterial large subunit ribosomal RNA", at positions 1860 to 2624 of the family's 2925-position model. The record is from RNAcentral. Lineage: Eukaryota; Metazoa; Arthropoda; Insecta; Coleoptera; Curculionidae.
GGCCUUUUGAUUAUAAUUUAAGGUCGGGCCUGCCCAAUGAUUAAUUUAAUGGCCGCGGUAUAUUGACCGUGCAAAGGUAGCAUAAUCAUUAGUUUUUUAAUUGAAAGCUUGAAUGAAGGGUUUGAUGAAAAAAAUACUGUCUCUAUUUAAAUUUAUUAGAAUUUUAUAUUUAGGUUAAAAAGCCUAAAUUUGUAUUGAAGACGAGAAGACCCUAUAGAGUUUAAUAUUUUGUGUGGUAAUUGAUUAUUAAGAAUUUAAAGAAUUAUUAUUUAAAGUAUUUAGUUGGGGUGAUUGAAAAAUUAGUUUAACUUUUUUUGUAUUUUUACAUUAAUUUAUGGGCCAAUGAUCCUUUUUUAAGAUUAAAAGAUAAAAUUACCUUAGGGAUAACAGCGUAAUUUUUCUUAGAGUUCUUAUCGAAAGAAAAGAUUGCGACCUCGAUGUUGGAUUAAAAUGAAUUAUUGGUGUAAAAGCUAAUAAAUUGGGUCUGUUCGACCUUUAAAUUUUUACAUGAUCUGAGUUUAAACCGGUGUAA